Long non-coding RNA from Drosophila miranda, 642 nucleotides. RefSeq lists it as uncharacterized. NCBI's taxonomy places the organism in Eukaryota, Metazoa, Arthropoda, Insecta, Diptera, Drosophilidae. The transcript is spliced from 2 exons. The record is from RefSeq and is a predicted model, not a curated record.
CUACCAUCGAUAGUGUCGAUAGUGCCAUCGAUAGUUCUCCACCUUCUACUAUUAUUAACAACAUUAUUAAUAACAUUCAUGUGAAACGUCGUGUUCCAGUGCAAAUACGGCUGAAAACCAUUCCGGUGACAUUAGAAAAUAUUUAGAGUUCCAGUUACAAAACUGAAAACAAAACAAAACUCUUGGGCCGCCCUACCACCCCAAAAAAAACCGACCCUCCAAGGGCAGAACAGCUGCAAUGCCAUCAAAAACAUCGACUUUGGGUGUGAAGUUGGUCAGAGUCGAGCGCCCGUGUGUCCGUUCCAAUUAUUGUAUUGCAAAAACGCUGAUUAGAGGGAAGACACUGCACCACACCGUGCCCCUACCCGCCCGCACACCGCACACCAGCCAGCGGCACAGACAGUAUUUCGUUGCUCUGUGAAACGCUCAUGUGGAUUCGUUUUAUUGGUGCUCACAAGUAUCGUAUGAUAAUCUCCGUUCUAUUGUUGUUCUUGUUGUGCUUUUCCGCGGGCUUCUCGCACACAUCCGCAUGCACAGUACACGUACGCAGCGCAUGUGGGAGCUCUGCAUGUGUGUGUUGCUGAGUGGCUGCCAACCUGUCGAAAAUUUUCACCAUUUUAAUUCAAUAGAUAAUUAGAAAUA